Syngnathus acus (greater pipefish) is the source of this 1235-nucleotide long non-coding RNA. RefSeq lists it as uncharacterized. NCBI's taxonomy places the organism in Eukaryota, Metazoa, Chordata, Actinopteri, Syngnathiformes, Syngnathidae. The record is from RefSeq and is a predicted model, not a curated record. The transcript has 2 exons.
CUCUGCUUCUAAAUGUCAAUGUCUUGUCCUCUUGUCCAACCCUUAAGGCUGGUUCUGCCGCCGUCUAAUCCGGAUGAGGGAUCCUCUUCACUGUAAACAAUGAGUCCACUAGCGACUGUGGAGAGAUGGGAAAGCUCUUGUAAAUGACAUGAGGCUCAUCGCCGAGCACACAGCGAGAGGUCAAACACACUUUGGCCCCCUGGCUAUGGUCAAAAGCCCGAGGUCACACGCAGAUAAAGAGGAGGAGAGCACCCAGAACAAGCCUGGAUAAGAGAUAAGUAAUGAAUCUGCUUGUAAAUGCACUGAUCAUGGUCUUUGUGUGUGUGUGUGUGGGGGGGGGGUUGCCGUCACCUAUGAAAGCACUGUGGAAGACAGAUGAUAAUGCAACCUGUUGUCUUAUCUUCAUAUGUGAUGAAAGAUUUGAAGUCAUUCUACCUCCCUCCCCACUCUCCACCUCCACACAAACACCUUUAUGGCAUUCCUAAAGCAAAACCAAGGUAGCCCCUUGGAGACCACAAUGUGUGUGAGUGUGUGUGUGUCAUUGUCCAAGCCCCUUUGUGCAGCUAAUAGGUCCUCAGAGGGGUAGGGGGAGGAGAUAUUGUGUGUUAAUUUGAAUAAAAGUCCCCUUAAUUAUGCCACUGUUUGCCCCGCGUGUCUCUUCUGUUGUGGGAUGUGUUAAACUAAACUUGCCUUCAGGGGGCAGUGUGGUGCUCACAUGCAGAUAAUACAAAGAUUUGAUGGAAAGACACAAAGUCGUCAGUCGUUGCUAAAUUGCAGCGAUAUAACUCGUUUUUACCAGAAUAGGAGAAUAUAGCAGUUUUGUUGUGCUUUCUUAAUGUGUUGCUGCACCGUUUGUGUCCAUGUAAAGGUGUAUCCUGCAACAUCCUUGCUAAUUUUGUGCUAUUUUCACGAUACUGUUAGCGUUAAAGGUGAAGUCAAGUGAAUGAUGUUUUACUGUUAUUUUCGUAACUUUUUUUAUAUAACCCUUUUCUAUGCUCACGCAUUAAAAACAGACUCGACAAAUGGAUAGUAUGCCAUUAAGUGCAAGUUGAUAGAUUUGAUUGAAUGUAAACAUCCAUCAUGUGAGUAAAUAAAUUAAAGAACAGGAAAUGUUUUAAAUAGUAUAUUACAUAGAUAAGAUUAAAUACAGAGUUUUUUCAAAAAGAAUGCUCUCACCCCCCAAAAAAUCCUCACAUCUAAUAGACACUGGUAUGAGAAAAUAUAAACUGUAAGAG